RNAcentral lists this ribosomal RNA (253 nucleotides) under uncultured bacterium. RNAcentral describes it as "partial 16S ribosomal RNA". It matches the Rfam family "Bacterial small subunit ribosomal RNA", at positions 524 to 776 of the family's 1533-position model. The record is from RNAcentral.
UACGUAGGGGGCUAGCGUUGUCCGGAAUUAUUGGGCGUAAAGAGCUCGUAGGCGGUUUGUCGCGUCGAAUGUGAAAACCCGGGGCUCAACUCCGGGCCUGCAUUCGAUACGGGCAGACUAGAGUUCGGUAGGGGAGACUGGAAUUCCUGGUGUAGCGGUGAAAUGCGCAGAUAUCAGGAGGAACACCGGUGGCGAAGGCGGGUCUCUGGGCCGAUACUGACGCUGAGGAGCGAAAGCGUGGGGAGCGAACAGG